AUUACCCGAAAACACUGAUGUGACUCAUUAACCUAGAAAGAAACUGUUUAUGGCUCUCAAGUAUUUGAAAUUCUCCCAUGUGGCUUGUAGUGACACAAAACUUCGCCACUCCUGUAAUAGGCACUCUGCAACUUAUAUAGUUGGAUUGUUUAUGCAAAACCAAAACCCCAUGUUGGUCAAAAUGUAUGCCAGAGCAUUCUGUAUAUGAUACUAUUGUGUCAUGUCAAUUGGAGGCCAUGUGGUAAAGCAGAUGAUUACUACCUUGGUAGAUCUAGAUUUCACUUCCAGUUUUCCAGAAGAGCUUUGAUACAACUUAUUGAAACCUAUUCUUCAAUCUUUCUGGUUUACUCUAUUGUGGAUGUUGGUCAGCCAGUGAUGGGCUUUAGAAGUGGCUGCUUCCAGAUGCACUUUAUUCCAUGUAUGAUAUAUAUGGAAUACAGUACUUAACUAAAACUAAUUACAGCUAUUUCCAUUUUAUAAAAAUUGAACAUUCAUAUACAAAAUCUUUCGUAAGCCAAAAUGGCAUAAAGAAGCGAUUACCAUUAAUUUAUAUGGGAAAAAUUUUUGAGUAUUCCUAAAUUCAAAAGAAUAACAUCCCAAAUCGUACCAAAUAACA
This 616-nucleotide long non-coding RNA is filed under the name Androctonus crassicauda. The record is from RNAcentral. Lineage: Eukaryota; Metazoa; Arthropoda; Arachnida; Scorpiones; Buthidae.